Molecule: ribosomal RNA, 253 nt
Filed under: uncultured bacterium
Lineage: Bacteria
Description: partial 16S ribosomal RNA
Rfam family: Bacterial small subunit ribosomal RNA
Source: RNAcentral
UACGUAGGGGGCAAGCGUUGUCCGGAUUUAUUGGGCGUAAAGAGCGUGUAGGCGGCCAUGUAGGUCCGUUGUGAAAACUCGAGGCUCAACCUCGAGAGGUCGGUGGAAACCGUGUGGCUAGAGUCCGGAAGAGGAGAGUGGAAUUCCCGGUGUAGCGGUGAAAUGCGCAGAUAUCGGGAAGAACACCCGUGGCGAAGGCGGCUCUCUGGGACGGUACUGACGCUGAGACGCGAAAGCGUGGGGAGCGAACAGG